GACGAACGCUGGCGGCGUGCUUAACACAUGCAAGUCGAACGGAAAGGCCCUGCUUUUGUGGGGUGCUCGAGUGGCGAACGGGUGAGUAACACGUGAGUAACCUGCCCUUGACUUUGGGAUAACUUCAGGAAACUGGGGCUAAUACCGGAUAGGAGCUCCUGCUGCAUGGUGGGGGUUGGAAAGUUUCGGCGGUUGGGGAUGGACUCGCGGCUUAUCAGCUUGUUGGUGGGGUAGUGGCUUACCAAGGCUUUGACGGGUAGCCGGCCUGAGAGGGUGACCGGCCACAUUGGGACUGAGAUACGGCCCAGACUCCUACGGGGGGCAGCAGUGGGGAAUAUUGCACAAUGGGCGGAAGCCUGAUGCAGCAACGCCGCGUGCGGGAUGACGGCCUUCGGGUUGUAAACCGCUUUCGCCUGUGACGAGGCGUGAGUGACGGUAAUGGGUAAAGAAGCACCGGCUAACUACGU
RNAcentral lists this ribosomal RNA (467 nucleotides) under uncultured bacterium. RNAcentral's name for it is "partial 16S ribosomal RNA". It matches the Rfam family "Bacterial small subunit ribosomal RNA", at positions 28 to 506 of the family's 1533-position model. The record is from RNAcentral.